UGAGUAAUGCUUAGGAAUCUGCCUAUUAGUGGGGGACAACAUUUCGAAAGGAAUGCUAAUACCGCAUACGUCCUACGGGAGAAAGCAGGGGAUCUUCGGACCUUGCGCUAAUAGAUGAGCCUAAGUCGGAUUAGCUAGUUGGUGGGGUAAAGGCCUACCAAGGCGACGAUCUGUAGCGGGUCUGAGAGGAUGAUCCGCCACACUGGGACUGAGACACGGACCAGACUCCUACGGGAGGCAGCAGUGGGGAAUAUUGGACAAUGGGCGCAAGCCUGAUCCAGCCAUGCCGCGUGUGUGAAGAAGGCCUUAUGGUUGUAAAGCACUUUAAGCGAGGAGGAGGCUACUUUAGUUAAUACCUAGAGAUAGUGGACGUUACUCGCAGAAUAAGCACCGGCUAACUCUGUGCCAGCAGCCGCGGUAAUACAGAGGGUGCAAGCGUUAAUCGGAUUUACUGGGCGUAAAGCGCGCGUAGGCGGCUAAUUAAGUCAAAUGUGAAAUCCCCGAGCUUAACUUGCGAAUUGCAUUCGAUACUGGUUAGCUAGAGUGUGGGAGAGGAUGGUAGAAUUCCAGGUGUAGCGGUGAAAUGCGUAGAGAUCUGGAGGAAUACCGAUGGCGAAGGCAGCCAUCUGGCCUAACACUGACGCUGAGGUGCGAAAGCAUGGGGAGCAAACAGGAUUAGAUACCCUGUUAGUCCAUGCCGUAAACGAUGUCUACUAGCCGUUGGGGCCUUUGAGGCUUUAGUGUCGCACUAACGCGAUAAGUAGACCGCCUGGGGAGUACGGUCGCAAGACUA
This 793-nucleotide ribosomal RNA is filed under the name Acinetobacter pittii. RNAcentral describes it as "bacterial SSU rRNA". It matches the Rfam family "Bacterial small subunit ribosomal RNA", at positions 107 to 896 of the family's 1533-position model. The record is from RNAcentral. Lineage: Bacteria; Pseudomonadati; Pseudomonadota; Gammaproteobacteria; Moraxellales; Moraxellaceae.